AUGGCGAUCAUCCUGCUGCUCUUGCUCAGCUGCCUCACGCCGUUCCAGGAGGCGGCAGCCGAUGCGUUCUGCGACAACGUUAAGGUCCUCGCCGCCACCCUCCCCAACAAAACCUCCUCCUCCCCGGUACACUUCGCCACCACCACCGUCGGCCAAGCCCCUGACAUCGUCUACGCGCUCGCGCUCUGCCGUGGUGACAUUCUCAACGACACUGCCUGCUCCCAGAGCGUCGCCAACACGUUCGGCAUAGUGCGGAACGCCACGCCACCGGACAUGGAGUGCUACGGGGGAACCCGCUAUUAUGCCGAGUAUAGUAUCCUCCUCUACAACUUCAACGACAUCCUUGCUCCCUCAAUAUACACCAAUAGUACGGGAGAUGAAAACGGUGGCGACCCUCCCUUUGAGAGGUGGAACGUCAAGAACGUCACCGGCGACGUGCCCCUCGUCGCCGGCCUCAUCCGCGAGCUGCUGGUGGAGACCGUGGAGAAGGCAGCCAGCGCGACGCCGAGGCGGUUCGCCACGGGCGUCAUGGACAGCGGCACCACCUUCCCAAAGGUGUACUCGUUGGCGCAGUGCACGCCGGACUUGUCAACCGGGGACUGCCUGGCAUGCCUGAAUCAUCUCCUCGGCUUGAUCAACUCCACCAUGUCCCUGCGCAUGGGAGGACAGAUGGGCGUCAUACGGUGCUACUUCAGGUAUGAGGCGUCUCCGUUCUACCAAGGCCAGCCUAUGAUAAGCCUCGGGCCGCCGGCUCCGACUCCAGGCGAACACAAAACAUGUAUGUUCAUAUCAGGGCGCAUGAGCAAGCUGUGGAUAAUUGCCAUAGUUUUAGUACCUGUAGCGGCAGCAGCAUUUCUCUUUUUCAUCCUAUACUCUCGUCGUCUCACAAAGCAAAGAAAAGGUACACUGCUGAGAUUACAAGGAUCAAGACGUUCUCAAGAUUUGGAAGGAGAGGAAGAACUAGUUUGGCAAGGGGGGAAUUCAGAGUUCAUGGUGUUUGAUUUUGAACAGCUACUAGAGGCCACAAAUAAUUUUUCAGAAGAAAACAAACUUGGACAAGGUGGCUUUGGCCCUGUCUACAAGGGCAAGCUUACUGAUGGACUAGAGAUAGCAGUUAAGCGACUUGCUUCACAUUCUGGUCAAGGUUUCACAGAGUUCAAAAAUGAAGUCCAGCUCAUAGCCAAACUCCAGCACAGCAAUUUGGUUAGGCUUUUGGGAUGUUGCUAUCAAGACGAGGAGAAAAUAUUGGUGUAUGAAUACUUGCCAAACAAAAGCCCCAUGAGUACAGCUGUAUUCCAUGAAAAAAGAAGAGAAUUACUGGAAUGGUCGAAACUUGUUGCGAUAAUCGAAGGAAUAGCACAUGGACUGCUUUACCUACAUAAGCACUCCCGGUUGCGUGUCAUACAUCGAGAUCUGAAACCUAGCAACAUUCUGUUGGACAGUGAAAUGAAUCCAAAAAUUUCAGAUUUUGGGCUAGCAAAAAUAUUUAGCUCAAACACCGAAGGAAACACAACAACAAGAGUGGUUGGUACAUAUGGCUACAUGGCCCCUGAGUAUGCUUCACAGGGUGUCUUCUCUAUCAAGUCCGACGUCUUCAGCUUUGGUGUUAUUAUCUUUGAGAUCCUUAGUGGAAAACGGAAUUCUGGAAACCAACAAUAUGGAGAUUUCAUCAAUCUUCUUGGAUAUGCAUGGCAGUUAUGGGAUGAGGGAAGGUGGAUUGAUCUCGUUAGUUCAUCAUCGUUUUCCAAAAGUCACUCGACAAAGAUGAUGAGGUGCAUUAACAUAGCACUAUUGUGCGUACAAGAGAAUGCAGCCGAUCGACCAACUAUGGCUGAUGUUAUAGCUAUGCUAAGCAAUGAGGCUAUGAUCAUCGAUGAGCCUAAGCAGCCAGCAUAUUUCAAUGUGAGGGUAGGAAAUGAAGAGACAUCGACUGCUACAGAGUCAUGUAGUAUUAAUGAUAUGACCAUAUCAGCCACACUUCCUAGAUAA
RNAcentral lists this ribosomal RNA (1989 nucleotides) under Triticum aestivum (bread wheat). RNAcentral describes it as "partial small subunit ribosomal RNA". Lineage: Eukaryota; Viridiplantae; Streptophyta; Magnoliopsida; Poales; Poaceae. The record is from RNAcentral.